RNAcentral lists this ribosomal RNA (327 nucleotides) under uncultured eukaryote. RNAcentral's name for it is "partial 18S ribosomal RNA". It matches the Rfam family "Eukaryotic small subunit ribosomal RNA", at positions 1470 to 1796 of the family's 1831-position model. The record is from RNAcentral.
CCCUUAGAUGUUCUGGGCCGCACGCGCGCUACACUGAUGCACUCAACGAGUCUGCCUUGUCCGAAAGGUCCGGGCAACCUUUUGAAAUUGCAUCGUGAUGGGGAUAGAUUAUUGCAAUUAUUAAUCUUCAACGAGGAAUUCCUAGUAAGGCCGUGUCAUCAGCGCGGCCUGAUUACGUCCCUGCCCUUUGUACACACCGCCCGUCGCUCCUACCGAUUGAAUGAUCCGGUGAGGUCUUUGGACUGUGAUGACGGUUUCGGUUCGCCGGACUGCUGUCGCGGGAAGAUACGCAAACCUUAUCAUUUAGAGGAAGGAGAAGUCGUAACA